RNAcentral lists this ribosomal RNA (325 nucleotides) under uncultured eukaryote. RNAcentral's name for it is "partial 18S ribosomal RNA". It matches the Rfam family "Eukaryotic small subunit ribosomal RNA", at positions 1470 to 1796 of the family's 1831-position model. The record is from RNAcentral.
CCCUUAGACGUUCUGGGCCGCACGCGCGCUACACUGACGAAGGCAACGAGCUUUCCUUUACCGAAAGGUACGGGUAAUCUUUUGAAACUUCGUCGUGCUGGGGAUAGAUCCUUGCAAUUUUUGAUCUUAAACGAGGAAUGCCUAGUAAGCGCAAGUCAUCAACUUGCGUUGAUUACGUCCCUGCCCUUUGUACACACCGCCCGUCGCUCCUACCGAUUGAGUGGUCCGGUGAGGCUUUGGGAUCUGAGCGGAAAGAGCGUUUCGCUGUUUCUGCUCGGAAAACUCAGUCGAACCUUAUCAUUUAGAGGAAGGAGAAGUCGUAACA